GAAUUUUUACGAAUUUUAACGAAUUUUUGUGAAGUUUCUUGUGUCCGAAUCUGUAAAAUCAAAAAACGUGAAUUUUUUUAAUCAAAUUUCAACGAAUUUUCCCGAAUUUCAACGAAUUUUCCCGAAUUUCAACGAAUUUUCCUGAAGUUUUUCGUGUCCGAAUCUGUGAAGAAGUUCUUCUUGAAGGUCAACAGACGAUUACUUCCUGGAAAGUGGUUUUCAAGUCAAUUUUUCAAUUCAAUUUUCAAGAUGAUUCCUUACAAUGAACCUGAACCGUUAAGUCAAGCCACCAAAGCUCAAAUAAUGAGACUGGUCAAUCAUUACGUACAUAGAGAAAAACAGACCAUUAUUUUCUACGAUGACCAUGAUACAUGGGAUCUUGCGCACCCAGACGUUGCAGGGUACCAUGUACCCUUCUUUAAUGUGACCUGGGAUGAAAUUGACGAUGUUCAAAGGACAAUGAACAAACUUUUCUAUUAUUUAGGCAUUGAAGCCUAUGUAUUUUUCAUAACUGUGCCAAAUAAAAUUUUCGUUUUCGAUGUAAUAAUUUCAAACGAACGAAUUCUGCCCGAAUUAUUAUUGAAACCUGGGCAAUGAAACCAAAAAUGGAAAAAUGAAAAAUUCUACUUUUUUUGCUAUGUUAUUUUUUCAAUAUUUUUAUGCUAGUUUUUUAUUAUAUCAAGCAUGUACAUAGGUAGCUUUUAAUUAUAAGUAGGGCAACCCAAAAUAUGCUCUCAUUCAAGGUAAAGUACCUAUUGAAUAGGAAUUAUAUUCGAUUUUUCUUUGGAAUGAAACAUUUCCAAAAUAUUCAUAUACCCUACUUGAAAAUUUGAAUACAAAUGGGUAUCGUUUUCACUCGUUUUGAUGAGCACAAUUCAUAAUCAUUAAUUUUAAAUUCGUCAUUCCAUCAAUCAGCAAAUCAUAAUCAUCAAAAAACGACUGUGAACAUGACAUUUGCGAUCUUCCGAUCCUAAAACUGCUCAAAAUAUUCAAUAAAUUGUGAAAUAUGACGAUUUUCAGCAGAAAAUAUUCAGAAAUCUUUAAAUUGAGCUCAUUACAAAAAAAAAAAACAUUCAAAAAAUAUAUUGGGUUGUCCCCAUGAAUAACAAACAGUAGUUUUUCUUAUUGUAUAAUUUAUUCUAUAAAAAUACGUAUAAAAAACAAAAAAAAAACAAUUAGUUUAAAUACAUACAUAUCUAAUAACUGUACAAAAAUUAAUAUUUUACCUUUUUUUUUACAGGUUAAUUAAAAUUACUUUUUACAAUUUUUUUUUCUCACUCUUUCUUCGGACUUGCUUGAUAUCAACUCAAACGUUUGAACGGUGCCUCUGAAAAUUACAAAAACAAAUACCUCAAUAAAAAUAAAACAAAACAAAAAAAUUGUGAUUGAAAAAAUAAAUAAAUCAAAUAAACAAAUAAAAGAACCUUUUUUGGAAAAAACAAAUGACAAAAAAAAAACCAUAAAAACUUCGAAAACAAAAUUCUAAAUUUAAAAAAAAAAAAAAAAAAAAAAAGGAAAAUAAA
Molecule: long non-coding RNA, 1523 nt
Organism: Planococcus citri (citrus mealybug)
Lineage: Eukaryota; Metazoa; Arthropoda; Insecta; Hemiptera; Pseudococcidae
Exons: 2
Source: RefSeq, a predicted model, not a curated record